This 72-nucleotide transfer RNA is filed under the name Phrynosoma platyrhinos (Desert horned lizard). RNAcentral's name for it is "tRNA-OTHER". The record is from RNAcentral. Lineage: Eukaryota; Metazoa; Chordata; Lepidosauria; Squamata; Phrynosomatidae.
GCCAGAGUGGUGUAGUGGUUUGAGUGUUGGACUACAAUUCUGGCGACCAGGGUUCAAUUCCCAGCUCGGCCA